Molecule: long non-coding RNA, 820 nt
Organism: Solanum stenotomum
Lineage: Eukaryota; Viridiplantae; Streptophyta; Magnoliopsida; Solanales; Solanaceae
Exons: 4
Source: RefSeq, a predicted model, not a curated record
UCUUUUUUUCUUAGCAAUUUUCCCUCUCUUUGUUUCAAUCUAGCUCUAGGGUUUCUCAUUUUUUUCUUUUCAACUGCUGAACUGAUUUCUUCUCCGAUAAGGCUAUACGAAGAAUUAAGAAAAUAAUUCAUGUAAUUCUUUUCUUAAUUACAAAGAAUUAAGGCUGGUAAAGAUUGGGACUGAUCUAUUCCCACUAAUUCAUGUCAUCAUCUUCUCUGCACUGUCCGUGCCUUUUCUAGUCUACUUCGAAUCCAUCUUUUACUUCUUCCAGCAUUUCGUUUGUUUGUCUUCUUCGAAAUUGACGGGCUCGCAAGGAUAAAAUUGUUGAAUAUACAUCUUGGAGAACCGUAUCUUUAUUAUUGAAAGGAGUCGCUGGCGGAUCUAGAACAGAACUCAAGGAUGUGAUUUAUAACAUCGACAACCAUAUUUUCGUGUUUGGGAUUCUUGGGUUCACUAUGCGGUGGCACUUCUAAGUUCUGCACCUAAAUUGGUUGGUUUGCUGUCUGAGCUUGGUGAAGCCUUUAGCGGCUUGGUAACAAAGUUAAUCCCCUGCUACAAGAUAUGCGCAUUAUGAAAUUCCACUAACUACAGCUGGAUGAACAUGCAUAAUUCAACAAUCCAGCAGUACAAGUACUACGGGAAGAAGAUAUUUUUAAAAUUGCUUGUAGAAUUAGAAUACAAUGACUUUACUUAUAUGUAUAAUGUUUUUGACUAUUAGUAGAGAUACGCAAAAGUAUUUAGUUUUGUAGGAAGUGGUAAAUAUCUAGUCCAUCAAUCUUAUGUAUUGACGUUUGCAAAUUCAUAUAAAUUUUAGUUUAAA